RNAcentral lists this transfer RNA (85 nucleotides) under Halobacteriales archaeon. Its description in RNAcentral is "tRNA-Leu". It matches the Rfam family "tRNA". From Rfam's summary of the family: Transfer RNA (tRNA) molecules are approximately 80 nucleotides in length. Their secondary structure includes four short double-helical elements and three loops (D, anti-codon, and T loops). The record is from RNAcentral. Lineage: Archaea; Methanobacteriati; Methanobacteriota; Halobacteria; Halobacteriales.
GGGGGGGUAGCCAAGCCAGGCCAAAGGCGGCAGACUCAAGAUCUGCUCACGUAGGUGUUCACGGGUUCGAAUCCUGUCCCCCCCA